RNAcentral lists this long non-coding RNA (981 nucleotides) under Homo sapiens (human). Its description in RNAcentral is "HSALNT0371308". The record is from RNAcentral. Lineage: Eukaryota; Metazoa; Chordata; Mammalia; Primates; Hominidae.
CUGCUCUUGUGAUCUUGAUUGACACGAGUGGCACCCUUCUGCAGAAGUAAAUUGCCUAGCUUAGAGAACUUCUGCCUGAGUGCUGGUUUCACUUUGCUGCACCAAGCAUUUAUUCCUAGAACAUUUUUAUAUUCAGCAAUUCUGGGGGCUCAUCCGGGAUCCCCAUUCUCCUUCAAGAAGGGGUCUUCAGUCACCCUACCCAGGGGAGAUGUGUCCCACUGCCCCAUUGUGGUGGCCUCAGGGAGGGGAGAUCAAGACCCACCCGUUGUUAUGAAUAAACUUGGACUCUCAGCAACACGGGGAGGAGAGGCUUGCAGUAUCGUGGCGACCAGCUAAACUCUGUGCACAGACCAAGUCUCCAUCACUCUCUGCUGCCUGGUAACUGGUAUUGGACACCUGGACAUCUGCAUCCCCGAGCCUUGAGAACCCAACACGUGUUCUGGAAUGACUGGCAGUAGCACCCCACCACUCAACCCCCAUAUGAGAAGAAAAAGGCCUCCUGCCUCCUCUUCUUUCACCAGACACUGUGGGCCCACAAUUCCCAUGUGCACCCCAAAGAUCCAAGCCACUAGCUCUCUCUCCACCUCUUGCAGGGUAGACCUUCUCCUUUUUUUUUGGCGGGAGCGGACAGAAUCCCACUCUGUCACCCAGGCUAAAGUGCAGUGGCGCGAUCUCGGCUUUUGUGUUAUACAAGGCUCUUUAUAUCAUGAUUAACACAAUAAGGUGCUUAAUCAUGAGUCUUAAUGUGGCUGCAUCCCACUCCCUAGGCUUCAAGGACAGAAAUUGCAUAUUUUUGAAAAGGUUAUUCUAAUGUACACCUGGGUUUGUGAUCCACUUAUAAGCCCUCAAAACCACUAAUCUGUUCUCCAUAAUUUUGUCAUUUCUGGAAUAUCACAUAAAUGAAAACAUACCAUAUGUAACUCUAUGGGAUUGGCUUUAUUUUUUCACUCAGCAUAAUUUAUCCAGGUUUUUUGUGUUUAC